AAAUUCAACCAAGCGCGG
RNAcentral lists this small nuclear RNA (18 nucleotides) under Arabidopsis thaliana (thale cress). RNAcentral's name for it is "snRNA_14139". The record is from RNAcentral. Lineage: Eukaryota; Viridiplantae; Streptophyta; Magnoliopsida; Brassicales; Brassicaceae.